RNAcentral lists this ribosomal RNA (433 nucleotides) under uncultured bacterium. RNAcentral describes it as "partial 16S ribosomal RNA". It matches the Rfam family "Bacterial small subunit ribosomal RNA", at positions 29 to 507 of the family's 1533-position model. The record is from RNAcentral.
AACGAACGCUGGCGGCAUGCCUAAUACAUGCAAGUCGAACGAGAUCUUCGGAUCUAGUGGCGCACGGGUGCGUAACGCGUGGGAAUCUGCCCUUGGGUUCGGAAUAACUUCUGGAAACGGAAGCUAAUACCGGAUGAUGCCGUAAGUCCAAAGAUUUAUCGCCCUAGGAUGAGCCCGCGUCGGAUUAGGUAGUUGGUGAGGUAAAGGCUCACCAAGCCGACGAUCCUUAGCUGGUCUGAGAGGAUGAUCAGCCACACUGGGACUGAGACACGGCCCAGACUCCUACGGGAGGCAGCAGUAGGGAAUAUUGCACAAUGGGCGAAAGCCUGAUCCAGCAAUGCCGCGUGAGUGAUGAAGGCCUUAGGGUUGUAAAGCUCUUUUACCCGGGAUGAUAAUGACAGUACCGGGAGAAUAAGCCCCGGCUAACUCCGUG